AUAGGGGCAUACUCAUAUAAAAAAUUUCCUAACUAAACCAAUUGGGGUGAUAGACCCGCGAAGCAAAAGCAUUUUUCCUAGCAUUGAACCUUACUUCAAAGACUGGAAAGCUUACAACACAGGUAAUAGAGCGAAGCCUUAGGCUGAUAAACUGAUUGAAGGCAGACCAAGAGCAUUACCUACGAGGAUUUAUUAGGAUGGCUCAAAGACUGAUUCGGUCUUUUCCUCAAAGGCGGAUACGAUUGAAUUCGCUUUGGACUACGAGAGAGCUAGACAGCGGGGAUGAAAGGUUUGCGAGGAAGAAUCAAUGGCCAAUGGUUCUACAACUGCAACAGCACUUACUGAU
This 346-nucleotide long non-coding RNA is filed under the name Nicotiana benthamiana. RNAcentral describes it as "long non-coding RNA (NBEN_LNC040716)". The record is from RNAcentral. Lineage: Eukaryota; Viridiplantae; Streptophyta; Magnoliopsida; Solanales; Solanaceae.